GUUUGUUUGGAGUUAUAAAAAAUUUAACCUGCCCCCUGAUUAAUUAUUUAAAGGGCCGCAGUAUUAUAACUGUGCAAAGGUAGCAUAAUCAUUAGGUUUUUAAUUGAAAUCUCGUAUGAAUGGUUGGACAAAAGAAGAACUCUCUUUAUGUUAAGUUUUGAAUUUAACUUUUAAGUGAAAAGGCUUAAAUAUUCUAAAGGGACGAUAAGACCCUAUAAAACUUUACAUUGUUAUUAAUUUUGAUUGAAUUUAUGAAAUAAGAAUUUUAUUUGAUUAUUUGUUAUGUUGGGGAGACAUAAGUAAAAAUUUUUUAACUGCUUUGACAAUUAUACAAUUAUUAGUGAAUAAGUAAAAGAUCCUUUUUUAAGAUUAGUAGAUUAAGUUACUUUAGGGAUAACAGUGUAAUUUCUUUUGAGAGUUCUUAUCGGAAAAGAAGAUUGCGACCUCGAUGUUGAAUUAAAAUAUCUAUAUAGUGGAGAAAUUAUAUAAGAAGGUCUGUUCGACCUUGAAAAUUUUACAUGAUUUGAGUUCAAACCGGUGUAAG
Molecule: ribosomal RNA, 544 nt
Filed under: Longpotamon shensiense
Lineage: Eukaryota; Metazoa; Arthropoda; Malacostraca; Decapoda; Potamidae
Description: partial 16S ribosomal RNA
Rfam family: Bacterial large subunit ribosomal RNA
Source: RNAcentral